GUGUUGUUGAAUUUCAGUGGUGGGCCGUCAGGGCCUGCAAGGCCUUCUCUGCUGGCCUAAAAAUAUCAGAAUCACAGACUGAUGUUAAUUAUAUUUUGUCCAUGAAUACGUAUUAAAUAAAUCCAAAUGGUCUGUCCGCUUCCUCUCAUUGCUAGCCCCCUGGUUGCGCUGCUUCCAGACGUGUAUUUUCAUAUUUAAGCAUU
Long non-coding RNA from Xiphophorus hellerii (green swordtail), 203 nucleotides. RefSeq lists it as uncharacterized. NCBI's taxonomy places the organism in Eukaryota, Metazoa, Chordata, Actinopteri, Cyprinodontiformes, Poeciliidae. The record is from RefSeq and is a predicted model, not a curated record. The transcript has 3 exons.